CUGGAAUCAAGAGUCAGACACAACCAACUGAGCCACCCUGGUGCCCCAAAAUGGAGAAUUUCAAUCUCAUGAUUUUCUUGGAAGGUGACUGUGGUGCCGGGUCAAGCUUGAGAACCACUGCUCUCCAGCAUCUUCCUGGGAUGCAAACCACAUUGCUAUCUGAUCUCAUCACACUUCUGCCAAGAGGUGAAAUCUAAGAGUCCACGUCCUUGAUGCCUGACAUCCUUUUCAGGUCACUUACCUGAGAACACCUGAGGACACUGAGUAAACCGCCACCAUGAGGCUCGAACUCACAACCCACCCCAAGAUCAAGAGUCACAUGCUCUACCAACUGGCCUAGCUGGAUGCCCCCAUGAAACUUUUAAUAGGAGAUGGUGACAGAUCAAAACAUAAAAUCUCAACAUACUAUCGGAUGUCGUCUUGGAAUGAGGGCGUCUCCAGGAUGCGCUGCCAAUCCCUGGAAAAUUUAUAGAUCUUAAGAAGAAUUCCCCUAGGAACUCUACAGACAAGGGAAACCUAUGUGCUUCCAGCAAUACGGACUGGGAACUCAGACUGUCUUUCUUACCUCCCCCUCCCAUGAGAGCCAGAGAUCAAACAGCCAUCCCAGAAGGCCAGA
Suricata suricatta (meerkat) is the source of this 616-nucleotide long non-coding RNA. RefSeq lists it as uncharacterized. Lineage: Eukaryota; Metazoa; Chordata; Mammalia; Carnivora; Herpestidae. The transcript is spliced from 4 exons. The record is from RefSeq and is a predicted model, not a curated record.